AUGAGCAAGUUGAUUAUGAUGUUAUCUUUUCUGCAUCACAUGGACGCCCUGCACUGCCCCCACCAGGAUUGCACUACCUUGCCCUGCCCGAGAUCACCGCCGGCUACAUCGCUAUGCUCCUCAUGGCUAGAAGGCAGAAGCAGCAACAGCAGCAGCAGGCGCGGCCGAAGAUCCCGGCGCCGCCCGCCGAGAAGCCUGUGGCUGAUGACGAUAGGAGCGAGGACAUCGCCAGCCCAGACACCCAGCUCACCUUCCCCGAGGACGAUGAGCAUGACGAGGCAGCGACAGUGGACGACGAAGCCAAGGCCAGCGUGCAGGACAAGGUGA
RNAcentral lists this ribosomal RNA (327 nucleotides) under Triticum aestivum (bread wheat). RNAcentral's name for it is "partial small subunit ribosomal RNA". The record is from RNAcentral. Lineage: Eukaryota; Viridiplantae; Streptophyta; Magnoliopsida; Poales; Poaceae.